UACGGAGGGUGCGAGCGUUGUCCGGAAUCACUGGGCGUAAAGGGCGCGUAGGUGGCCUGUGGAAGUCUGCGGUGAAAGCCCGGCGCUCGACGCCGGGUCGGCCGUGGAUACUCUCGGGCUUGAGCUUACUAGAGGCAGAUGGAAUUCCGGGUGUAGCGGUGAAAUGCGCAGAUAUCAGGAGGAACACCAGUGGCGAAGGCGGUGAUCUGGGCCGAUACUGACGCUGUAGAGCGAAAGCGUGGGGAGCGAACAGG
This 254-nucleotide ribosomal RNA is filed under the name uncultured bacterium. RNAcentral describes it as "partial 16S ribosomal RNA". It matches the Rfam family "Bacterial small subunit ribosomal RNA", at positions 524 to 776 of the family's 1533-position model. The record is from RNAcentral.